ACAUCACCCAGCCCUGCAGUGAUUCUUUUGAAACCUUCGAGGAGGCAACGAGGAUCCAGACAAGGCCCCCAAAUAUCUGCAAACAAAAGUGAGAGAAAGACACAAGUGCAAGAUUUUGUCCAGAUAUACAGAAAACUUCAAAUACAAUAGAUGCUAAGAAUUAAACCCAACCUCUCAGAAUACAGAUGAGAGGUCAACACCCAGAUGUAGUCAUCUGAGCUGCGGGCAGAACCUUCUGCAGCAGCUGUAGGACCAUUCAAAAUGCUUCUCCCCCACACCCUGCAGUUGCACUGUAGGCAACCUUGGAUUCUGGGAUUGAGAACUCUUCACUUCUCCUGAAUGCUAUGAUUUAAGGAGCCACCUCCUUUGUACACAGUGGAAAAAAUACACCUGCACAACCCAGAACCCUCUACCCCACUGACAGAGGACCCAGUUCUACUGCAUUCCUCUUUCCCUGGGUGGUGCCAAGCCUUUAGGACGUAUGUUUCCAGACCUCCCCAAGCCAUGAGAUGGGCUAUUUCCUUAUGGCUCAUUAAACAAGCUGCAUGCCAAAUCCCCUGCAGUCAGGAAUUAUAAGCAAACAGCUCAAGGUACAGCCAGUGCCAUAAACACGCCUCGGUGGGCAUCAAGCUCAGCACCAGAACAGCCUCGCCACUGUCAGCAUAGCCAGAACCUCCACAGGACUUUGUGUACUCCAUGCAGCUGCAGGAAACCCGGACCUUGUUCUCAGAGAGGGACCGAGUCUUCAGAGCACACUAGGUGGCCAGAGGGAAAGCCUUUCUCUGCACGGUAAUGCCUGCUUUAGCCCAAUUCCUUUUUGCUUGCCUGAUAUCCCUAGGAGAAAAUCAGUGCUCUAAGUCCCAGGGAUGUGAACUGGGUAGAACUUUGGUUCCAGAUGGCAAAAUUGAAUUUAGGGUGUGAAAUCAUGAGCUCUGUCCUACGGUAUGCAGCCAAACCACUCAGUGCUGAAUGAAAGUGUUCAGACAUAGGAGAAAGCCUCUUGAACUGAUGUGAGAAGAGCAAAUUUCAUCAGCAGAGGACACAGGAAAAGGUUUCUCCUUGAAACUUUCAGUCAGUGCUCACAGCAACAGCAUUUAAUUACCUAUGCCAAAUCCUUUAAUAUACUGAUCUCCUUCCACUCAGUGAGAACAGAAGAAGGAGCAAGGUGCUCACUCACCCUUCACUCAGCCCCAUGCCCAGCUCCAAUGCUUCACCUCCAGCCCAGGAAAACUGUAGCUUCAGCAGCUGAAGCUUUUUGCUGAUGCAGUUAUCUCCCUGCUUUAAGAAAGCAUUUUAUCCUUUGUGUGCAUCUGUUGCUAAAAAUCACCUACCAGUUGGGUCAAUUUGACUAUCUACCUUAAAACCACCAGCAACCCCUGCAAAUCUGCUAAGCAACAAAUUACGGAAGGUUUUUAAAGGUGCCAUGACCACCCCCCACAGACUGAAGGGAGCUACAGAGCCCCCAGUUAGGGCUUGUGACUUUCUUUAAGGGAGAGCUGGGGGCUGCCCCCAGAUGCUUGCAGCUCAGGGCCCUGUCUGGGCCCCUGGACCACAUGCUGUCUGCUGAGAGUCAUCCCUUGGACACCCACAGCACCAAGUGUGCUGGGGGACCCGUGAGCAGCAUCUGCCCUUCCCAGGGAAAAUCUGGCACUCACCAUUUCGGGGAUGAAGAGAACAUCUGGAAAAGUUGUAAAGACGGACAGGCCGCUGGGUAAAGAGCUCCUGGAAGUUGCUGAGGACAUUGUGAAGCUCUCCCGCAUUGAUGGUUGGUCUCUCUGGAGGCAGCUGCCAAAUACAGCCUCCUUCCCUCCCUCUCUCUCUUCCUCCUUCCCUCCCCUCCUUCUUGCUCUUCCCUCCCUCCUUCUCAGUGGCAGGCAAAGACAGCUUCGAGAGCCACAGAUGUGGCCAGAGCCUGUGAUCAGGUAUAGCUCUGUGACUGGUCGUGGCCUGCAGGAGGUUUUCAAGAGCUGUGGGCAGCCCUGGGGCGUUUCAGUCACAAGCAGGGACACACCAUGCAGGGCAAGUCCUUGGGCGGUGGUGGGUGGCACUGGUUUACAUCCAAGGCCAACAAGGGUGAUCUGUGCUGAGCCUGCUUGCAGCAUCUCUCAUUCCCUCUGUUUGCACAGCACUUCAGCUUGUCCUCCACCCUCAUGAGCUGGCGACAGAAAGCACAGUGGCAGGUGGCAGAGCAAACCAAGGCAUACCAGCUACCAGCUCAGGGCUGGGAGAUAUCCCAUGGAGGGGUCGUGCAUCCUGGGAUGGUCAGGGGUAGUUGUAAGGCCACCAUCUUUGUUGUCUCAGGUCAACGUAAUGAAAACUAAAACAAUGAGAUUUACCAAAACAUUUGGCUUCGUCUGUUCUACUUUUUUAGCCUGGAGUUCAUGGGAGUGAGUCAUUUCCCCUUCCCUUUAUAUGGAGCAUUAACUUCUUAUUACCAUGCUCAAGUCAUGCCCAGCAAAAUCACAGCAUUGGAGACAUUAAACAUCAAUAAAUGGAAAGGAACAGUGUGGUCAUUGUGGCCAUCCAUUGCCAGAAACCAGCAACCCAUAAAAGAAAUGCCUGUCAGCUUGUGAAUGCUGCUCAUACUGUGGCAGCUGCUCCCAGCCACAGGUCUUUGGUGUGGGCUCUAGAGCAGGAGGUAGGACUGGUUGCCUCUGAGAACAUGCUGUUGGAUCCCCAUGCAGCCCCACCAGCCUCCUUGCAGUGGCAGUGAGGGACACAUUCAGUUGUCCACAUUUUGUUUCUUGUGACAGCAGCAGUAGCUGCUCUCUAGACCUUGGACAGGACAGGUAUCCUGAGCAGCCCUCAGCAUGGUGGUGAGGCUGCAGGAGGUGUAAUUGUGGUGUCUGUGAGUUGGUUGCAGAUCUUUUGAAUCAUAGAAUGAUCUAGGAUGAAAGAGCCUUCACGAUCAUCAAGUGCAGUUGUCACCUUGACUUACUUAGUCCCAUCAUCAAACCAUGUCCCUAAGGGCUUCAUCCAUACGUCUCCUAAUACCUCCAGGGACACCACUUCCCUUGGCAGCCUUUUCCAGUUCUCCAUGUAGAAAUUCUUCCUGAUAUCCAAUCUAUAGCCUUCCUGACACAACUUGAGGCUAUUGCCUCACGUCUUUUCACUUGUCACCUGUGAAAAGAGGCUGACAUUAUCCACACUGCAACAUUCUUUCAGGAAUUUAAAGGGAGUGAUGGGAUGUCGUCCAGACUCAGCAACAGUUGAGCAGUUUGCUCAGCCACUCCUCAAGUUCCUUGUCUUGCAGACCCUACACCAGCUAUGUUGCUCUUGUGUUUACAACUUGGGCAAUUCGAUACUCCAAUUGCUUUUGUAGCAGGUUGCCGGUCAGGUGGGAAUGGAGAGAGCUCCGCAGGGAUGCAGUAAAUGCCUGUCCUGAACUACAAGACACAGAUUUGGGGUGAUGAGUACAAAAAGUGCUGCCUGAUGGCCAGGGGUCACCCCUGUGUUCCAGUUUGUGCCUCUGGCUUCUUAUCCUUGCACUGAGCACCGCUGAAAAGAGCCUGGCUCUGCCUGCACCCUUCCUUCAGGUAUUUAUAGACAUAAAUGAAUGUACAAUGCUGGCCCCAGCACGCACCCAGGGGUGAGACUGCGGAACUGCCCUCAAAACACAACUUGAACCCAGGGCAGCUUAGUGGGAAGAGCUGGACCAGUCCAGCCACCUGCCAAGGAGGAGCCUUAAAGGUCUGAAAAAAGCUGCAUUCCCCUGGGGAUUCCUGAAGAACAAGGAAGAAGCUGACAUGACAACAGCAAAAAAUCUGUGUUUCAACCAGCAGAGCCUUAGCAGGGAGGAGUGCAGGGCUUGGCACAUGGGUGGUGGCCAGGCUCAGAGCUAGUGGGAAUGGGUGUCAGCUGCUCCUUUGACCUGAGUCUUCCAUGGCUGAGGGAAAAGCCCAAGGACUAUGCAUGGGGCUGCUGUGUCUGGAGGGAGCAGCUGCCCUGGGCACUACAUGGAGCUUUUCUUGAAGCUGAGUCCUAGUGCUCCACUUUAACAGUGUACUCAAAGGGAGUACUGGACAGCUUUCUGAGUGCUCACUACUUAAGGACACAGAGAGAGAUAGGAUAUUAGGUAACAGAGGAACGGUAUUAAGUCUGGAAACAUAAGUGGACAAAUCUACGCUUACCAAAAUAUUCCUUUCUGGAAUGGCAGGCAAGACCACUUGGCUUCCCUGGCUGUUGGAAAGCACCAAUGAAACCCACUUGAAAAGAGUUCUGACACUAAAGACAUGACAAUCUCUUACUGUGUAUUAUCACACACCAAUGUCCUCAGGAAAUCUCUCUCUUUUUCUGUGUUUUCAAACUGAGCAAAUCUAAAGCUGAAUAGCUGAAAGGAGAUUUUCCAUGUUGUAGAAUCAAUGACACAAAAUCUGCAGAAGAUCUCAAGUGAAGUAGCCUGAAGGAAAUGAAACUGUCUUCAGAUGACUACCUAAAAAGACCCAAAAAACCCCAACAAAAAACUACAAGGCUGAUGGUAUGCAUGGGUGUGAAAAUAGUUAUGUCUUCUUGAAGGUAUUGUUGCCACCCACUCAAGAAUGACAUCAAGUCACAGUGACUUUCCAGUCUCCCACUGCUACAGCCAGCUUUGCUGCGCUCUAACUAUUGCACAACCAGCCGCUCUGUGAGACUGUGCAGUUAAUGUUCCAGCAGUUGCUUUUGCUUUAUUUACACAGAGCUAAUCCAUGUAGAGCUUGGCGUUUUAAGAAAGAACUAGAUAUGAGAUUAUCACUCAGAAAUUACCAGCUUCUUUCUCUGUCAACAGAGCCUUGACUGAGGCUGCCCACACAGCUAUAGGUGGGGUUAGGUGGGGUUAAAUGGGGCUAGCUGGUGUUGCAGAUUGAGCCCUUGGCUUUCAACCUCAUGUUCCCUUACUUGACCUCUGGUAAAAUCUGCUGAAUGUAGAGGCAGUGCUGCUGCAAAGUUCUCCUUAGCUGGGCAUUCCAUAGCAUGACCAAAAGCAGAAGAAACCUCAUUGUACUUUGAUACCUUCCUCCAAUAAUGAUUAGAUAAAUUCAUGGGCCAGUCCAACCGCAGGCAUACAAGAAGAGGUUUAGAGCAGUCCCAUUAAGGUUUCCCCCAGACCUCCUGCAGAAUAGGGUGCUAGGGUUAGUGUUUCAUUUGUUCGGCAGUCAGGUAGUCCACAAGCAAAACUUUUGUGUCACAAAUAGCGGAGUGAAAGAUCAUGUAAACCCACAAGAUGGCAGGAGAUACUCAGGAAUUUACCAUCAGCUAGAAGGGCUUCUAGGCUUUUGUAUUUCUCCUUUGACAUGCCAUUGAUUUGGGAGAAGUUAAAUGAAACCAUGUUUUUAAAUAAAAUAGAAGAAGCCUGGUAAAGGUAUGUCAGCAAGUGUUCAUGGAUCUCUUAGGAGCAGUGGGAUGCUAAGCCUGGCAGGACUAACAGACCCAUGUGAGUUAUAAUUAAUGUGGAAACAAGAAGCAUACAACUAAGUUAUCCUGUGACGGCAGGGUAACCAUUUAUAGGUCAAAACUCCCCGCUUUGAUGGCCAAAGGAUCCCCAGCCCUAACCUGCCACAGUCACCUGCAUUUCAGCCUGGAUGAAGCUUGCUGCCUGUAGAGGUGCCAACCAGGCAGUGUGACAGGGCCAUCAGUCCUUCCAUUCUGAAGUAGACAACAGUUUCUCAUUAUGCAGUCCUGCAGUGUGUCUGCAAGAUGUAAUGUUAAAAAGAAAAUCUUUACGCUCAAAAGGUUUUAGCUGCUUGCCAUUAAGUCUGCAUGGUCCAAAUCUAUGAACAUGACCGAGAGGCCCCACAGCACAUUUUUUAUUUCUGCUCUGUCAAGACUUCCCUUUCAAGUUAUCUCUUCCAAGUUUUUUGUAGGGCUGAAGCCCCUCGCAGGCACUAGAUGCUACUUUAUACAUUGCUUCAAUCUCCUAACUUAAAGUACAUUUUAAAAAUAUGAACACUACAAUAAUGACUUCUUUUUUUUUUUUUUUUUUUUUUUUUUUUCCUGUGCUGCAUCUGGAACAUAGGCAUGUAUUUAUUCUGAUCUCCUCUGUGCUACUUCAGUGGAUAUAUUUUUGUAUCUGAUUUGUACUGAGUAGGAUUAAUUUUUAUCCUUAGACUUUCCAGAGACAGAUAAUAGUAUGGUGCUGAGCGUCUUUGAUUAACUCAUUCCACAUAGGACUGAGUGCAUUAUUUGAUGAAUACUGUCUGUCCCCAUGUGGCCAGAAACCAGAGCACAUUCAGCCUUCAGAUUUCUAUAGUUCACUUGCCUUGAUUAAGAAGGAACAGCUCAUUUUGCUGAAAGAGGAAGUUAUCACAUAGCAUACCAGUCCCUAGAAAGCCUUAGAUUUAAUUAACAUGGAAAUAAUUUUCAUAUUCAAAAGUCAGAUCUUCAAAUAUCCUGAAAACCAGUUACACUCACAUCUGAACUCUGAGUUGUGUUAUCAACCAUUUUCAAGAGAACUCUGGAUCCAGGACUGAAAUUCAAGUAACUUCAAUGCCUGAAUCACUAUAAAGGGACAAGCAAAGUCAAAACUAAAGGUUCUGUUUCACAGAUCCUCAUUCAGAGUGGAAAACCCACAAAGUUUGAUUUACACAUCCUGGCCUCUAGUUCUCUUGUCCUCUGUCACUCAAAGACUCAUCACCUCCCACAGAUAUGUAAGCAUACAGGCCUCCGGGGCCACCUUUGUGCCUGAAUGCCUCUGGGACUCAGCCUGAAGGCUGCUGGGCAUGUGUGUCUCUAGGUUGGCCUCUUGGCCUUCCUCUCACCUGCAUGCCACCUUCCAGGCCAUUCAUUCUCUUGGACUCUAGGCCUCCCUCUGGAUCUCGAGUCUCCUAGGCUAGUCUCUAAGUCUGUAGGCCUUCAGGCAUCCUUUUGGGCCUCAGGACGUCUGGGCCGAUGUGUUAGCCCUUUGGCUGCUCGCAGUCUAGCUCAGGUGGCAUCCUACCCUCACAGACGACCGGCAUCGAGGCCUCCCUGUAGGCCACAAGGCUUGUAAGCCUCCCUCAGGCCUCCUGAUGUCCAGUCUUCCCUUUUGGGCCUCAAAGCCUCCAGGCAUCCCCCUUGACCUCUUGAUCUCUAGGUCUCCCUCUAGGCCUCAAGGCCUUCUGGGCCCACAGCCAGCCUCUGGGCCUGUAGAUGUCUUUGCCCCCAGACAUUUGUCUUGGCCAAUAACUCUCUUGCCCUCCAAGCCUGCCUUUUAAUUGAAAAAAAUGAUUUCAAGGUCUCUAGCCGUCUUGGCCAGCUUCUCGUUUUCCCUCUUGGUCUCUUGGCCCCUACGCCUCAAGGCCUCUAGGCCAGCCUCUAGUUCAGUCAUGUCCAACCCACAGCCAUGCUUUCUAUUUUAAUAAGGAAUGCAGGUUUUAAGAUUGCUGAAAAGUUGAUCAAUUUUUUGGUGUAUUCAUGACUCCAUUUUCAGUUGACAUAAAUACAUUACCUGUGAAUUUUCAAAUGCAAUGUACAGAGUUGCAAGCCAAUACUCAACUCAGAUUUUCAUGUCUAUCUACCAGACCUCUGUUGGUCAGACCUCUUCCUCUUGCCAGAGAGAAAUACCCAUCCCUUCACAGUCACACCUUAUCCAUGCCAUCGCUUUAUGGCAGUACAUAUAUCUGUGAACAAUGGACAAAGCACAGGAGGAGUAAAACUUCCAUCAAAAAUCUCUGACAAACACCAAUGAGCUCACUAUGAAUUGCAACCAUUGCCAUCAAACCUGACUGAUGUGUUAAUGUCACAAAAACAAGGUCAAACAUCCUACUGGUUCUAUGGUUUUAUUACCUUUUUUUCAAUGUUUUAAUUAAAAAAAAAAAACAAAAAAAA
Molecule: long non-coding RNA, 7782 nt
Organism: Tympanuchus pallidicinctus (lesser prairie-chicken)
Lineage: Eukaryota; Metazoa; Chordata; Aves; Galliformes; Phasianidae
Exons: 2
Source: RefSeq, a predicted model, not a curated record